RNAcentral lists this long non-coding RNA (540 nucleotides) under Mytilus galloprovincialis (Mediterranean mussel). The record is from RNAcentral. Lineage: Eukaryota; Metazoa; Mollusca; Bivalvia; Mytilida; Mytilidae.
CAAUUGGGAACUGUUUUUAUAAUGAUUAAUUUGUUUUUAUAGCGUGUUGCAGUUAAUCAAAGGUUACUAAUCAAUUUAACUUAUAAAAUAUGAACAAAAUAAGAACAAAUAAUAAUAUUUACAUAUUUUAUUUUGCUCAUAGUAGGUACAAUUGAAGUAUCAUAUGAUAUAAUAUGAAGUCUUUUAAAAAAACAUUUUUUUUUAGUCUAAGAUGCAUAUUUUUAUUGGCUUUGAACUAGCAGUCAGUACUGUGAGUACUCUCAGAUCUGUACUUAGUGUCUUUGUUGUGGUUAUGUCCCAAGCCAGGAGCCUGUAAGUCAGUGGUUGUCGUUUGUUGCCGUGUAACAUAUUUGUUUUUCGUUCAUUAUUUUGUACAUGAAUUAUGCCAUUAGUUUUCUCGUUUUACAUUAGUCAUUUUGGGGCCUUUUGUAGCUAUGUGGUAUGGGAUUUGCUCAUUGUUGAAGGCCGUAUGGUGACCUAUAGUUGUUAAUUUCUGUGUCAUUUGGUCUCUUUGGGAGAGUUGUCUCAUUGACAAUCAUA